Molecule: ribosomal RNA, 402 nt
Filed under: uncultured bacterium
Lineage: Bacteria
Description: bacterial SSU rRNA
Rfam family: Bacterial small subunit ribosomal RNA
Source: RNAcentral
UGGGGAAUCUUGCACAAUGGGGGCAACCCUGAUGCAGCGACGCCGCGUGAGCGAUGAAGCCCUUCGGGGCGUAAAGCUCUUUCGACCGGAACGAUAAUGACGGUACCGGGAGAAGAAGCUGCGGCUAACUACGUGCCAGCAGCCGCGGUAAUACGUAGGGAGCAAGCGUUGUUCGGAUUUACUGGGCGUAAAGGGCGCGUAGGCGGCGCGGUAAGUCACUUGUGAAAUCUCUGAGCUUAACUCAGAACGGCCAAGUGAUACUGCUGUGCUAGAGUGCGGAAGAGGCAACCGGAAUUCUUGGUGUAGCGGUGAAAUGCGUAGAUAUCAAGAGGAACACCUGAGGCGAAGGCGGGUUGCUGGGCCGACACUGACGCUGAUGCGCGAAAGCCAGGGGAGCAAACG